RNAcentral lists this long non-coding RNA (3642 nucleotides) under Marmota monax (woodchuck). Lineage: Eukaryota; Metazoa; Chordata; Mammalia; Rodentia; Sciuridae. The record is from RNAcentral.
GGGAGGAGCUUGUUGCGCCUACGCAGGUGGCAUUGAGCUAAGGCUCGAGAACGCAUGUGCACAGAGACUGGCGGAAAACGGAGUGGGAGAUUAACAGUGUUUAUUGGAUGCCCCCGCGCUAGUGAGUUUGGCCUGAAUACAGCUGAGAGCGAACCCGCGCGUGUGCACUGUGCGCGUGGACGUUUUCCCCGCUCCCUUCUUUGGCGGAGGGCGCCAUCUUGUCCUGAGGCUUUGUUUUGUUUUUUGGUACUGAGGUUGGAACCCAGGUUGCAAAACCACUGACCUACAUGCCCUGCUCUUUUUUGUGUUUUAUUUUGAGACAGAGUCUCGCUAAGUUGCUUAGUGUUUCGCCAAAUUGCUGAGGCUGGAUUUGAACUCGCGAUUUGAACAUCCUUUGGAGCCGCUGGGAUUACAGGCGUGCGUUGUGCGCCCGACUGGGGGCUUUGUUAAGUGCCAUGGUUUGUUCAUAAUUUGAAAUACACCUAGGUAUGGAGACCGUAGACAAAAUUUUUGCUGUGUUUUACCUCGGGAGUCUCGGGUUUCCAGCUCUAAAGCAGCGUUUCGUUCAGAGUUUUGGGUCGCCCCAAAACUAAUCAUCGUGCAAACGAUCAAGGAAAAAACUACUUGAGCUCAGGCUCUUCCCUUUUUGUUGUGCUGGCCGAAGGCCUCCUCUGUACCGUUUCAAACCUUGUGCUGGUUGUAAAAUGUCAGUUACUCCUUUGUGACAAGUUUCACAUUUUUUUUAAAAGGAAUUAAUUGAUUCCACAAACUGUGUGUCAGGCAUUUUUCUAGUUGGUGGGAAUACAGUAAAAGCAAAACGUGUUCGUUGAUGAGAGGACAGUGAGAUUGAACUUGAUUUUGGUGAUGAAGCCAUUUGUCUUUGAAGUCCUCUUUCAAAAGAGGAAAAUGCUUAAAGCCCCUACUUCCUUAAGGUAAAUAAGUACUGUAUUAUUAAGUGGUCAUCACUGUGAUGAAUUGUGAAGGAAAUGUGGAAAAAUUGGGAAGGAAAGAAGAUAACUGAAGAGUUUACAUUCUGAGGGGAAGAAAGUGAAAAAUAGAAAAGGUGCUGGGCUUCGUGGCUCACGCUUGUAAUCCCAAAGGUUUGGGAGGCUGAGACAGGAGGAUAGCUAGUUAAAAGCCAGCUUCAGCAACCCAGGAGCUAAGCAACUCAGUGAGACCCUGUCUCUAAAUAAAAUACAAAACAGGGCUGAGGAGGUAGCUUAGUGGUCGAGUACCCCUGGGUUCAAUCCCCAGUACCCUCACCCCCCAAAUAAAAAGUCAGAUAUAACGUUGGUCAUAGAUUAUGCAGGUUCUAAGAUUUUUUAAAAGCCUCCCACACCCUCUUUUCUAAGCAUUAACUAUUAUUAUCCUCACUAGUCUACUUAAAAACUCCCUUUCAAGAUUCAGAGAUAGGCUUUCCUAAGAUCAAAGCUAUAGGUUCAUGAACCGUAUUUGUAGAGAUUUACAUUUUAAAACAGAAUGCUAAUGAAGGGAAAAAAUACUAAACAGUGAAGUAAAAUAAAAACAACAUUACAUCUUUAUGUUGUAUAUGACAGAGAGGGAGAGACUGUUCUCAAUUCUCUGUGCAGUCAAGAGGCUAAGAAUUUGCUUUUCUUUUUGUUCCAUACACUUAAAAGCCUCAAAGUAUUAAUCAAAAGUAUCCUGGAAUCAAAUUGUGUUUUCUAAAGGGUGUCUGAGACCACGAUUGUGUGGGUAUGACUUUCCUGUGGUUUCUCCAGGCGUCUUGCAAAUAUUCUCCAUAACCACAAGGGGGAUGUGGUAGUGCUAGAUAUUCAAAGCAUGAACCUGAGAAUGAGGGCUUUUAAUAUUUGCCAGUAUAAAAGAUAGGCUUCUGCACUGCCUUGCAAAUUACCAUAGCCUACAGCCUGAAGGCUGGAAGAAAUGAAUCUGAUUCUAAGAAAACAUAAGGGUUCAAAUGAAUAAGAGCAGACAGAUCCUCAGCCAAGUAGUGUACAUCACAGAACUCUAAAUAGAGAUUGGCAUCUCACUGUUACUUUGGGAAAUGGAAGGAAGUGGUGCAUAAUUUGCAUGAGGGUAAAUGUUUACUAAACAGAACAAGUGGCUGUCCAAUACCUGUGCAUAGUAUAGUUUUUUGUUGUUGUUGUUGUUUUUAGUACAGGGGGUUGAACUCAGGGACACUUAACCACCAAGCUACAUCCCCAUCCCCAGCCUGAUUUUUUAAUUUUUUAUUUUGAGACAGGGUCUCACUAAGUUGCUCAGGGCCUCAUCAAGUUGCUUAUACUGGCCUUGAACUUGCAAUCCUCCUCCCUCAGCCUCCCCAGUCACUGGGAUUACAGGUGUGCAUCCCUGUGCCCAGCAUAUCAUUCUUUUUAAAAAAAUAUUUAUUUUUAAAUUGUAGGUGGAUACAAUAUCUUUAUUCUAUGUAUUUAUUUUUAUGUGGUGCUGAGGAUCAAACCCAGGGCCUUGCAUAUGCUAGGCGAGUGAUCUACCGCUGAGCUACAACCCCAGCCCCAUAUCAUACUUUUAAUAAUAUUCUGGGGCUACAGCCAUUAGUAGGAAUUUUCUCUAGAAUAGUAAUUAAUAGUAGCUGUUAAGUGUUUACUUAAGCUCCACAAACUGCUCUAGAUUCAUGUACAUUUUAUAGUGGAAUGUCAAAACAUGACCUAAGUAAAUGUUGUUGUGUUCUCAUUUUGCAAAUGUAGAAUUUGAAGCUUAAGAUUGAUUAAAUAUGUUACCUGGGGUCUUAUGGCAAUUGAAUGGUAAAGUUAGAAUCUGGGUCAGUCAGUCUGACUCCAGAAUCUACACUGCCAACAACCACUGUUCUGCUGCCUCAUAACCAAACAGGAUCUGAUGUUUCACCUCUACAUUUACAUUUACAAAAUCUGAGUUUUGUAAUACUGGCUUAAUCCAUUAUUAACAGCAGUUACUCUGACAAUGGAAUAAAAAGUUAGAAAUACUUUAAAUUUUUUAAAUGUAGUUUAAGGGGCUGCGGUUGUAGCUCAGUGAUAGAGCUUGCCUAACAUAUGUGAGGCACCAGGUUCGAUCCUUAGCACCAUGUAAAAAUAAAUACAUAAAAUAAAGGUAUUGUAUCCAUCUAAAACUAAAAAAUAUUUUUUUAAAAAAUGUAGUUUAGGUUCCAAAACAACCUUAAGGAAAAUUUGGGGCUAACCAAGUGUGAUAGCUCAUGCCUGUCUGAAAAAUAAAGUAAAAAGACAUGGGUAUAUAGCUCAGGGCCAGAGAGCCCCUGGGUUCAAUCUGUAGGACCCCUACUCCUACACACAUACAUAAAAGAAAAUUCCAGACUAGGGAUAUAGUUCAAUGGUAGAGGGCCUACCUAGCCAGUACAAGGCCCUGGGUUUGAUUCCCCAGUACUGUUCAAACAACAACAAAAAAAGGUUGGAAAAAAAUUAAUAUAACUCAUAGGAUCAAAUUUGUAUUUUUAAAGCAAAGUCUCUAAAUUGGUGUCUCGGGAGACAUUUUAUUCAGUCUCCUGAAAGAUGAAUGUCGUGUGAUAAUUUCCAACUUCCGAAAAUAAAAAUGAGGCAUGUAGGGGCUGGGAUUGUGGCUCAGUGGUAGAGUGCUUGCCUAGCAUGUGUGAGGCAUUGGAUUCGAUUCUCAGCACCGCAUACAAAUAAAUAAAUAAUAAAAACAUAAAGGUCC